CUUAUCAAGAGUGGCAGAGGGAACGGCCCUGUGAAGCCCGACAACCUGCGCGAGAGCGUAAGGUGCCAAAUCCGUCGGCGGAAGUCGAAAGAUAAGA
Molecule: non-coding RNA, 97 nt
Filed under: bovine gut metagenome
Also listed under: 1 other name
Description: SAM riboswitch (S box leader)
Rfam family: SAM riboswitch aptamer (S box leader)
About the family: The SAM riboswitch is found upstream of a number of genes which code for proteins involved in methionine or cysteine biosynthesis in Gram-positive bacteria. The SAM riboswitch acts at the level of transcription termination control. The predicted structure consists of a complex stem-loop region followed by a single stem loop terminator region.
Source: RNAcentral